This 23-nucleotide microRNA is filed under the name Echinococcus granulosus. RNAcentral's name for it is "egr-miR-10287-3p". Lineage: Eukaryota; Metazoa; Platyhelminthes; Cestoda; Cyclophyllidea; Taeniidae. The record is from miRBase by way of RNAcentral.
UGCGCGUAUGCGUUUUCAAGUGC